GUUUAUCAGUGCAGGUAACCACCAACAAGAAAACACAGAUCCCCACACAUACAUCUCCUAUAUUAAGUCAGUUUGAUUCACAAACGAGUACACAGGGUCACCGGGUAGCCUGGAGCCACACACAAUUUGGAAAUGCUAAUCAGCCUACAACGGAUGUCUUUGGACUGGGAGAGGAAGCUGGAAUGCCCAGAAGAAACUCCUGAAGCACAGGGAGAACUCCGCACACAAACCCCCAACCCCAGAGGUGCAAGGCGAACGUGCUAACCAAUAAGCCACCUGUCCUUGCACACUAGAAGACAACCAUAGGUCUAUUGCCUGAUGUAGAUGAAGGCCCUAGCAGCUGUGAGGAAGCUUUAAUGUGACUUUCCAGCCAGCAAAAUUAAUGUGAUAAACAGAUAUUUGUAUGUUUGAUGUUUGUUUGAUGUUUGUUUGAAAAUGGACAGGACAAGAAAAAUAUUGAUCAGGGAGGCUACCAAGAUAUCUUUCUCACAGGAAUUAGUCACUCGCUGCAUGGAACAACAAUCUCCUGCAUCCUGCAUUUCUGGAUAAGAAUAGGGUGUCACAAUGAAGGCAUUUCUCCAAAAAUGUGUUAUCAUCUGAUAACACAAUUCUAGAUUGUUUGAAUUUGGUGACUGAAGAUAAAUGAUUAAAUAAUAUGAAAGAGGUUGUCCCUUUCUGCCUCUUUCACUGACAUUUAUUAGCCAAAAAUGUCACAGAGCUCAGACACUGGUUAUCUAUAAAUUAGAGAUGGCACUGAAUAUUUAUCUGAAAAUGAGAGAAUCUGUUUGUUUGGUCGGUGUAAAUGUUCAGUCAUUAGAUUAAAAACACUGGAAGAAAUAAAAUUCAUUUAAAUUUCACACAAAUGCAUAUUCCCUGGACUUUUAAGCAGUUAACAUUUCAAGAUGACGGAACUACAUUACGUUAUGAUAUAGAUCAAAUCCAGAUCUAGCCUAUUUAACUACACAUAUUUUAGACAUUGAGAUCUGUGAGUUUAUGUAUUGAAUGCACACAAUAUGAAAAGUACACACAAUUUAGAAUUUUAUCACCAGAUAAUUCAGUUCUACAAAAGCAAUGCAGGAACACUGAACAACACAGGCUUCACAGAAAAAUUUUGACAAAAGAUAAAUGGAAAUAAACCAAAGACAUGCUGGUCU
Long non-coding RNA from Pangasianodon hypophthalmus (striped catfish), 1154 nucleotides. RefSeq lists it as uncharacterized. NCBI's taxonomy places the organism in Eukaryota, Metazoa, Chordata, Actinopteri, Siluriformes, Pangasiidae. The transcript has 3 exons. The record is from RefSeq and is a predicted model, not a curated record.